This is an RNA transcript of Cyanistes caeruleus (blue tit), 1849 nucleotides long. RefSeq lists it as uncharacterized. Lineage: Eukaryota; Metazoa; Chordata; Aves; Passeriformes; Paridae. The record is from RefSeq and is a predicted model, not a curated record.
GGAACCAGUGGGAGCAGCCCCCGGCAGCCCUGCCUCCCCUCACAGCCCUGCUGGCACCCACGGGUACGAGCCAGCUUCUGAGAUGGAAGGGUGUGGAAAUAAAGAUGACAGAAAAUGAAUAAAAUAUAAAUUUAAGGAAAGCUGGUGGGGACAACGGGUUGAAUAAGCGAUGAAGGUCAAGGUGAGGUGGGAGAACAGAGCACUGAGUUGUUGGCGCAAGUUGGAACCCGAGAUUCCUGGAAGUCAUCGUGUGGGAAAAUGUGGAAUUCUGUCCUGGGCAGGUGGGCUGAAGUCUGAAGGAAGUGCUCCUGUUGUAGUCACUCUCCAGCAUUGCAUUCUCCUUGUGAGUUUGAAAAGGAAAAUUUCCUCUGUACAUCUCCGGUCAACCACAGGAAUUCCAUCCUGCAUCCCAGCAAAGGAAGCAGCUGAACACUGCUAGACCUCACUUUAGUGUCUGAUACUAUACCACUGACUAUUUGAUCUGGAGGGCUUAUUUUUUAUGAUGAUGGUGAUCAUUAUUGUGUACAGGCAGCUGAUGAGAACAGAGGAAGGAGCAGAUGAUGGCACCAAAUCCUGCCCUGGAGCUGAGCAGGGCUCAAGGAGCAGCCCCGUGUGGAGGAGCAGAUGGUGCUCUGCAAACUAUCAGCUGCAUUUUGUGGAGCAUUUCUGGAGCUGAGGGACAACUGUCUGGGAAUUUCCAGGUCAGGUAACCUUGCUCACUCUUGUGGAAAGCCUGAGGAGCUCCAGGAGGGAUUUAAAGAAGAGAUCUUCCUCUCCUGUUCAGCGUGCAGGUGGUAAAACACUGACUGCCAUGAACUUCAUUAGGAAAAAAACAAAAAAAACAAAAAAAGAAGAAAAAGCUGUGGUUUGGAAGCAGCUGGAUGGCAGACUGCAGGCUGGGAAUGUGGCUGCCAAAACCACCACAAGGAGACUGGGGCACAGAGGCAUUUGUGGAGCAUUCUGUUUGCUAAUUGCUCAUGGAAUUUCAGUGUCUGGAUUUCUUUAGUUCAACUUUUCCAUUCUUCAGACUUGAGCCAAGUGAGCGAUUUCAAAUUACCCAGCACUUUCCAGAGAUGGAGGUUGAAAGAGAAGAAGGGAAUCUGCCAGGUGGCUGCAUUCUGAAAAACAGGCCUUGUUUUCCUGUCCCGUUUUGCAGCAGUCCUGUGUGUGGGAGAAGUACAACUGGGGGACACCUGAUGAAAAGAGGUGCUGGAACAACUGGCCUUCAGCUCUGCCACCUUCCUUUGGUGCUUGCAAAAAAAAAAAAAAAAAAAAAACCAACAAAAAAGACAAAAAAAUCCAAGCCAAAGGUAGUUUAUGUGCAGCUCAGGAAGCUCUCAGCAAUGAGUGUGUCUGUGAUUUAAUAACACAUCUACCCAAAAUGACACUUCUAAUACUCACUGAGAAAAAGAAGGCAUAGCAGCACACAAGGCACUGCUAUUGCAGCAACAAACAGCCAAACUACCAGGCAUUUAUUUUUCAAUGUACACAAUUACUGAAGGAGAAUAAAAAUUGUUCUUUGACACUCUGACAGACCAUAGAAAGCCCUGUGCUUCCCCUACUCCCAUGGUCCUGACAAGAAACACCUCACAAAUUCUAAUAAAUAGUGAAUAGAAAUAAAUACUUUAACUACACAGCAUCGGGUUUCAAAUGGCUUCCUGAAUCAGAAAGUGCUGCUCGUCCAUCUUCCUUAUUUCUCCACUCUGUAAUGGUGGCUCUCCAAAAGUUAAAGUGAGAUGGAUACUGCAAGGAUCACAGACACUACACUGGGAAACCAAGUAUCAGUGGGUACAUCCAGAUUUAUGGUAGGUGAUGGCAGUAAAGUGAAAGUAAAACUGUUUGCACAGUC